This 1038-nucleotide long non-coding RNA is filed under the name Anser brachyrhynchus (Pink-footed goose). Its description in RNAcentral is "lncRNA (ENSABRG00000004834.1)". Lineage: Eukaryota; Metazoa; Chordata; Aves; Anseriformes; Anatidae. The record is from RNAcentral.
GGUGGGCUGAGAAACGUCUCCUGGAGUUCAGUGAGGAGAAGCACAAAGCCCUGCACCAGGACGUGCUGGGGACCCCAGCUGGGCAGGAACGGCCCUGGGGGUCCUGGUGGGCACCCGGUGGAGCGGAAGGCAGCCACGUGCCCUUGGCGCUCAGAGGCCUCGUGGUCUUCUGGGCUGCCCGGGGCAGAGCAGGGCCAGCAGGCCGAGGGAGGUGAUCCUUCCCCUCUGCUCAGCGCUGCUGAGGCCGCCCCUGCAGUGCUGGGCCCAGCGCUGGGCCCCCCAGCGCCACGGGGACCCGCAGCUGCCCGACCCCAGCAGCCACCUGGGUGCUGCAGGGGGACGUCCCUGCGGGCAUUUCCCCGGCAGGAGCAGGAGGACGGGAGCUGUAGGAGGGGGAGGAGCUGGCAGGCACAGCGAGGAAGGCUGCGCUCACCUCAGGCGUUGCUUCUGGCUCAGGAUCUUUGCUUGGCAGCUGGAGAGGCUCACGGUGCCCUGGGAAGUGUCCUGUCAGGACAUCCGGAGAAGUGCUCAGCACCGCCGAUGAACGUGGCUGAUAAGAGCCCCAGGAUGUUCCAGAAGGGGUCUGUGACCUGCCACGAGCUCCAAAGGUCCCUGGCAGCACCCCAUGGCGGAUCAGGCCCUCUCCACCACGGCAUGGGACGCUGGGCUCUGCUCUGCUCCAAAACCCACCCUGGGCACGGCCUCCUCCACACACACCCCAGGCUGUCGCCGCCUGGGAAUGGAGAACCCAAACCAGUCACGGUCACGGAUGGUCCUUGUCCUCACAGAGCCAGCACAGGCUGGAGGAGAAGGGUCUGGUCUCAGGCCUCUGUGCACACAGAGAGGCAAUGCAGGGCUCGGUGCGGCUCUGCAAGGGCUCGGGGCACAGUCGCUGUUGCCAGCUGCCACGAGGAAAAAUUCUGCCACCACUCACAGUUUUACCUUGGCUCUCUGCUUGGGGUUCCCUGCUUCACAACAGGAACUGAUCCCAAAAUCAGUGAGCCGAGCAUACAGCCAGUAGCAGGAACACAGGGAUAA